Molecule: unclassified non-coding RNA, 202 nt
Filed under: Hevea brasiliensis (rubber tree)
Lineage: Eukaryota; Viridiplantae; Streptophyta; Magnoliopsida; Malpighiales; Euphorbiaceae
Source: RNAcentral
GAGAAUGUGAAGGGCCAUCGGAUUUGGGAUUGGAAUCCUGAUGGUUGUGAGAUUGGAAUAUGUGGUCCUCAUUGAAAGGCAUUCGAAAAGAGAUUCAGAUUCAAAAGACAUCCAAACAGAAUUCCAGGAGAAAAACUAUCCUUGUAUUUUGAAUUUGAAUCCAACUCCGAAGUUGGAUUCUUGUUUGCUGCUCUCGCGAAGG